Molecule: small RNA, 308 nt
Filed under: Pan troglodytes (chimpanzee)
Lineage: Eukaryota; Metazoa; Chordata; Mammalia; Primates; Hominidae
Description: retained intron
Source: RNAcentral
GACGAAUGCUGCAAUACCUAACUGUGAACGAUUUACUCUUCUUAAAAGUCACCAGCCAACUACAUCAUCUCAGCAUCAAAUGUGCCAUUCACGUGCUGCAUGUCAACAAGUUCAACCCCCACUGCCUGCACCGGCGGCCAGCUGAUGAGAGUAACCUUUCUCCUUCAGAAGUUGUACAGUGGUCCAACCACAGGGUGAUGGAGUGGUUACGAUCUGUGGACCUGGCAGAGUAUGCACCCAAUCUUCGAGGGAGUGGAGUCCAUGGAGGCCUCAUUGUGAGUGGCUCUCUGGCCUAGCCCACCUGCCUU